UGGGGAAUAUUGGACAAUGGGCGAAAGCCUGAUCCAGCCAUGCCGCGUGUGUGAAGAAGGUCUUCGGAUUGUAAAGCACUUUAAGUUGGGAGGAAGGGCAGUAAGUUAAUACCUUGCUGUUUUGACGUUACCGACAGAAUAAGCACCGGCUAACUCUGUGCCACCAGCCGCGGUAAUACAGAGGGUGCAAGCGUUAAUCGGAAUUACUGGGCGUAAAGCGCGCGUAGGUGGUUUGUUAAGUUGGAUGUGAAAGCCCCGGGCUCAACCUGGGAACUGCAUCCAAAACUGGCAAGCUAGAGUACGGUAGAGGGUGGUGGAAUUUCCUGUGUAGCGGUGAAAUGCGUAGAUAUAGGAAGGAACACCAGUGGCGAAGGCGACCACCUGGACUGAUACUGACACUGAGGUGCGAAAGCGUGGGGAGCAAACA
RNAcentral lists this ribosomal RNA (427 nucleotides) under uncultured bacterium. RNAcentral describes it as "partial 16S ribosomal RNA". It matches the Rfam family "Bacterial small subunit ribosomal RNA", at positions 355 to 774 of the family's 1533-position model. The record is from RNAcentral.